AUCUCUUAUAUACUAAAGCACAAGUCACCUUUCCAAUUAAAUUUUGACACAUUGAAAAACAUUUCAAUUUUUUUAAAAAAAAAUCAGUUAAGCAAGAUAAUGAUCUAAAAAAUAAUAGCGUAUAACAAUUUUUCAAACACAAUCUACAACCCACGAUCUUUAUCAUUUCCCACUAUCUUUUGCUUUUCUAUAUUUUUCUAUAUUUUUAGAUUGGAUAAACAAAUAUCAGAGGAACUUCUCAUCUAUCUAAAACAGAGUAUGAAAGAUCUAUGAUCUUAAUGCAAAUUUGGGGUCGUAUGGAAUGUCCCGAGCCCGUGCUGAAAUUGAUCUGUAAGAAACAAAUAUCAAUAAAGCAUAUUUGAUAUUUCUCAGUGGAGCUAUCUUGUUUGGCAAAACAUCCUUCAACGAACCGGUUUACAGUUAGAAAGGUUCAAGAAAGAGUGGAUAUGGUGAAUCUGAAUUGGAGGAGACUUGACUCCAACAAAGACUUUAGGAAAAAAAGAAAGAAAGAGGACGAAAAUAGAAAGCAUACACAAAUGCAGAUGAAGACGUGGAACAUCUUUGAUAAAAGGUUUAAUGUUUCAGUCAGAUAUUAAGUAAUCAAUAGCGAGAGGGACACAAAGAGUUGAAGAUGACAAUGCCACAUAAAAGCUGAUUAAAUUUUAGGAUACACACAAAUAAAUAUUAGCAGGUAGACGUUUAUAUUACUGCAAUCUUUCCAAUACACAAUGUUUUCUUUUAGAUGUUUGAAAUAUUAAUACACAACACAAUGAUCAGAAUUUAUUUUUCAACUCUAUUGUAUUCUCUUAACUACCAUGAAUAAUAGGAAGAUCAAUGAUUUUAUAUAUUCUGUAAGGCAAUGUUUUGAAGCUUUUGUUCUUGAUGUACACAUCUCUUUCUUAUAAAUCGAAGUUAUUUUAUACA
Brassica napus (rape) is the source of this 924-nucleotide long non-coding RNA. RefSeq lists it as uncharacterized. The record is from RefSeq and is a predicted model, not a curated record. The transcript has 2 exons. Lineage: Eukaryota; Viridiplantae; Streptophyta; Magnoliopsida; Brassicales; Brassicaceae.